RNAcentral lists this transfer RNA (77 nucleotides) under Candidatus Saccharimonadota bacterium. Its description in RNAcentral is "tRNA-Arg". It matches the Rfam family "tRNA". Rfam says of the family: Transfer RNA (tRNA) molecules are approximately 80 nucleotides in length. Lineage: Bacteria; Candidatus Saccharimonadota. The record is from RNAcentral.
GCCCCGGUAGCUCAGCUGGAUAGAGCAGGACGGUUCUAACGUCAAGGUCGUGGGUUCGAAUCCUACCCGGGGUACCA